This 460-nucleotide ribosomal RNA is filed under the name uncultured bacterium. Its description in RNAcentral is "partial 16S ribosomal RNA". It matches the Rfam family "Bacterial small subunit ribosomal RNA", at positions 338 to 795 of the family's 1533-position model. The record is from RNAcentral.
CCUACGGGAGGCAGCAGUGAGGAAUAUUGGUCAAUGGACGAGAGUCUGAACCAGCCAAGUAGCGUGAAGGAUGACUGCCCUAUGGGUUGUAAACUUCUUUUAUAAAGGAAUAAAACGAGGCACGUGUGCCUUUUUGCAUGUACUUUAUGAAUAAGGAUCGGCUAACUCCGUGCCAGCCGCCGCGGUAAUACGGAGGAUCCGAGCGUUAUCCGGAUUUAUUGGGUUUAAAGGGAGCGUAGAUGGGUUGUUAAGUCAGUUGUGAAAGUUUGCGGCUCAACCGUAAAAUUGCAAUGGAUACUGGCAGUCUUGAGUACAGUUGAGGUAGGCGGAAUUCGUGGUGUAGCGGUGAAAUGCGUAGAUAUCACGAAGAACCCCGAUUGCGAAGGCAGCUUACUAAACUGUGACUGACAUUGAUGCGCGAAAGCGUGGGUAUCAAACAGGAUUAGAUACCCGGGUAGUC